This 281-nucleotide long non-coding RNA is filed under the name Manihot esculenta (cassava). RNAcentral describes it as "long non-coding RNA (MESC_LNC003436)". The record is from RNAcentral. Lineage: Eukaryota; Viridiplantae; Streptophyta; Magnoliopsida; Malpighiales; Euphorbiaceae.
GUGAUCUCCAUCCUGUGAAUACAAGGGAGAUGAUCUUUGACAUCUUCUAUAUGCUCUUUAACCUUGGAUUGACAGCAUAUUUGAUUGGAAAUAUGACCAAUUUGGUUGUUCAUGGGACCAGUCGAACUAGAAGAUUUGUGAGUAAUCCUUAUUCAUUGAAAUGGUAAUCAUGCUCUCCAAUUCAUGAAUUCAUUAUUCAUAGAUUCCCCUGUAUUUUCGAAAUUCCCAGCGAGAUGCCAUACAAGCAGCUUCGAGUUUUGCUCAGAGGAACCAACUGCCUC